This is a long non-coding RNA of Cynocephalus volans (Philippine flying lemur), 278 nucleotides long. RefSeq lists it as uncharacterized. Lineage: Eukaryota; Metazoa; Chordata; Mammalia; Dermoptera; Cynocephalidae. The transcript has 2 exons. The record is from RefSeq and is a predicted model, not a curated record.
GACACCAGGCAAACUCCACAGCAACCCCAAGGUUCAGCUUCGGGCCAGGUUGCAACAAUCGCAGCAUGUGCUGGGGGAGAGUGGAGCCCAGGAUGGAACUGCCAGCAGAAGCCGGGCUCUGCAGGAACUGCUGGACCUGGGACCCAGAAUGGAGGAGAACACAUAGUUGACAAGAAGCAAGUCCAGAAUCCCACUUUGCCCACUUCACCUGUGAGCCCUCCAAUAUCACCCUAUCCCCCAAAAUUAUCAUUCACACUAAUACAGCUAAUAAGCAUCAA